CUCGUAAGCAGUAUGGGCCUAUUGGAUUACUACGGUGACAAUGCAGAGUGCAGACUGACGGAGACUGGCGGCAACAGGGUGAGCAAAUGUAGUCUACAUACAUUACAGGAGUGAAAGUUUACAGACCGGCUGAAAACUGCUGUUUAUGUCUUCACGGUACGACGUACCACUCCGUACCGGCUUACUGUCACUCCUGCUGCCACCGCAAAUGUAAUUGAAGCGCAGUAAAACAGACAUUUAAAGCUCCUCAUUUUACAUUUUGUCUUAGUUUUCUCCUCAUGUUGUUUGAGUGGCUUUUCUGUGUGUUUUCCCUAGUGUUUCUGUUCCCCUGUAGUCCAGUCUUGUGAGUUUUCAGUUUGUGUUUGACCCUGUCUCCCUUCUAUUCUCUAUGUUUUAAUCUUUAGAUCAGUUUUCAGUGUUUUUUUCUUGUUUUAUUUUGUAGUAGUUAUUCCCUGUGUUUCUAGUCUGGUUUUACUUCCCUAGUUUUCCCUCCUUCGUUAAUCACCCAUGAGUUUCACCUGUGUCUCGUUUGCCUCACCUGUUGCUCGUUUCCCAGUGUGGACAUGGUCCCUGUCUUCCUCUCUGUCCUUGUUGUAUCAUUGUAUGAAUGCAGAUGCUUAUUCUUGUGUCCUCUGUUGCUCCUUUCGAUUUUGCCCCUAGAAAUUUUUCUUUAUUUGGAUUUUGCUUCUUGUGUUUUUUGCAUUUGGGAUUUUUUUGUUGCUUUUCUUUUGCUCCUUUUGAAUAAAUCCUUUUUUGUUCUGUAUUUUGGGUUCUUUCCCUUUUCCAGAACUCCGGAUCGUGACAGAAUGAAUCAACAAGGGCAGAGGGGAAGACAGGGACCAUGUCCACACUGGGAAACGAGCAACAGGUGAGGCAAACGAGACACAGGUGAAACUCAUGGGUGAUUAACGAAGGAGGGAAAACUAGGGAAGUAAAACCAGACUAGAAACACAAGGAAUCAACUACUACAAAAUAAAACUGAUAAAAAGACUAAAACACAGAAAACAGGAGGGAAACAGGGUCAAGCACAAACUGAAAACUCACAAGACUGGACUACAGGGGAACAGGAACAAUAGGGAAAAUACACAGAAAAAUCACUCAAAUAAACAACACAAGGAGAAAACUAAAUUAACAAAACAUAUCAUGACAAACAAGAUUGUAUUUAAAACUCAAACAAAAGAGCCUUGUACUGUUUGCAAACCAACAUACUCAUGAUUUCUCUUCUGCAAUCUUGCGUGAAGAUACUCGGUUAGGUUUGGCCAAGAGUUGAUGAUUUCAGUACCAAAAAUGUCAGCGGUGUCAGAGAGCGCCUUUCUGUGACAGAGACCAUAUUUCUGAGUCCUCUGUGAAGCAUGCCUAUCCUCUAAGAUCCACAAAGCCACGUCUAAUAUUUCCCUUUAUUCAGGGGACAAAAUAAGUGGUAAAGAUGUUAACAAGAAGGAAACAAAACGGAAGUGUGUCGCUGAUCUGAUCUGACCUUAAACAUUCAAAGGGUUUUUCUCAGGCUAAAAUUUGACCAAUGUUAUAACUACUCACUCUUGGUCCACUCAAAAUACCCCCACUCCCAAGUUUUCACUAAAAUUGGCCCUGAAAAAGCUGCACACACACACAGAGUAGUGUAUAAUGACAGAGCCAUUGUUGUUUGUGUCCAGCGAGCUGCCCUCUCAGACAGCGUCAGUGAAACACCAGGAAUUUAAACAUACACUACAUGUCUGUGUAUCUGUGAGUCUGAGUGCUUCUCCUGUGUAAUUUUAUUUAACUUUUAUACACAAAAAGGCCUCCCAGCCUCUCGGGGAGGUGACUUUAACAACAGGCUGCACACAUGGGAAAGUUUUUUGGUAAUUUGACUUCAUGAAAACAGCAAAUCAUAAGCUACGGUUAUAAAGAAAGGAUCAAUAGCAGCCAGGUUUCCCUCUAAUUCUGGUGUUCAGUAACUGUUUUCAUUUUCUCAUGAUGCCAUGUUAAGCCUCAUUUUAUUUUCCAGUUUACGUUUGAAGCACAAAGGCCCAUUUUCUGGAUAUGAAAUCCCUACUUUCCUCACAGUUCAAGUAUUUUCUUCCUCUGCUUGGAUGUUUUGCAGCAGUGGCAGGUUUCAGUCUCAUAAAUCUGGAAGAAAACACUUGUGUAGUGGUUGUAUAGCAUCUUUGUCAGUGGGGUCCUCCAGCCCGGGCCGAAGAUGCCUUCUCAUUAAUUCGGGGGUGCUGGGCCUUAUUGUUGUGCUAAUCAGGCACAGAUGUGGACACCCCGACUCCAGAAAAUCAUCCGAGCAGUCUCGACAGCAGACGCCUCUCAGGAGGGAGGAGGGGGAGGCCGUUCUGGGGGGACCGUUAUAAUUGUUUUUGACAGGGAUCCAAACCAAAUAUGUACAUGCGUGAAAAUGAAUCAAGCUUGAGCUGUCAACCUCUGAACUGAGAUAUUUAUGAUGGUGGUGCGGAGGGAAGAGUCGGGAUUCCUUUGAGGAAGAAGAUUUUUAAUUAUGGUUUUAGAAGAAGAGAUGAGGAGACAGAAAAAUGUAAUCCUUCCUUCCUUAUCCUAAUAUGGGCAAGACAUUUAACUUAAUUCUGCACUGACAGAGGUUUAAACCUACAGUCAGUCACUGGAGGGAGUUUUUUCUGGACCUGGAGUUUCUCGAGUUUCAGCUUCCUUCCCUGGGCUGAUACAGUUACAUAAAAAUGCCACUAAUGGAAAAUGGUCUAUAAGUCUGUCUUGAGAUUUCAUAGAGAUUUAGGAGUACAUGUGUGAAAGAGGUUUUAUUAGACCGGAUGGAUCCUCUCCAGGGUGAAACCUCAUUCUACGUUUAUCAUCAUGGCUGUUUGUCUUCUUCGUUCACACUCUCAGAGGAAAGUGUGUUUCCUCCUCUGUCACCAACUUUCCCUGUCAUUGUGAGUCAGUGCAGGAAUCCACCUCUGUGUUUGUGUGUGUGUGUCUGUGUGUGUGAGGUGGUUAGAGAGCUCCCGCUGCUUUCCUCUGACCCAUGCUUCCUGUCUCCACACACCUGCUAACACACUCACACAUGCAGACAUACACACAAAUCAACAUGCUUCAGAGUCAGAGGAAUUAAUUAUUCUAUAAGGUGCAGAAGUUUUUGUCAAGUCUACCUCAUAAUCUUGCUAGCUGAAACAAACCCAAAAGCAAAUGUCAGUCUAAGACCCACUACAUGCAUGCUUUUUCCACACACACACAAAAAUGUAUCAGGUCUUGUGUUGGACUGGAUAUCACGGAGUGUCCACUUGGUUGCUGAAUAGAGAUGUGAUGUUUGUGAAUAAGUCAGUAGUUUGAAUGGCUGUUUUAAGAGACCAGUGAGAAUUGUUCAUAGUGGUGAGCCGUUCAUUUGUGAGCUGUCCUCAUAUUCAGAUUGCCCACGCUGCCUUCACGUGUUACAGUUACAAUGUCAUAUAGCAGACGUUUUUAUCCAAAGUGAUGUACAUAUCAAUCAUACACCAGUUGAGGACAUGCACUAGGAGCAAGGUAGUUUUAAGUGUCUUACCCAAGGACACAACAGAUAUAUCUGUUGUGUCCUUGGGUAAGACACAACAACCUUCCAGUUGUUGGACAACCGCUCUACCUCCUAAGUUAUUGCUGCCCCAUGUCACCUGUGUUUCCAAAAUGCCAGGUAGGAUAGUACAAUUUUCCAUUUACGUUUCUAUCAUGUCUUCAUUUUUUAUCAGUUAGCUGCAGUCUGCUUAGUUUUUAUUGUGCCAUAAAUUUUUUUAGGUGAGGGAAAAUUUCAAAAUAGUGAUCUCACUGUCCAAGCAUGGGGAUAUGGCACCAUCCUGUGAUAUGUUUACAAUGAAAGCAAUAUUGAUAUUUCAAAAUAAUUCCUACCAAAAGAGCAUAUAUUGGUGGGUUGUAUACCCCUGGUUGACUUCUAAAAAUUAAAUAAGUUUAAUGGAGAGCCAGUUUUAUUUGAACAGCUCUUUUAAAAGAAACGGUUCCUCAAAAUCCGACUCCCAUUAAAGAGCCAUAAAUCCCAUCUCUCUUGCAAAAAGCAUCAGAGGUCACAUAGUUCUCGAAGUCCAGUACAUUUCGGUUGAAGGAUUAAUUCAGUCUUAUUUGCUCAUUUUCUUAACUCUUAGUUUUGGAUAUUUAAAGGUUAUUAAGAGGCAGGCCUGGAUUGAUUUGACAGUAACGCUGUGGAUAUUUUACCACACGCAAGGUUAACGAAAACUUAGUCAGCAUUUCUAAUAUGGUGACUGUUUAAAACUCCACUUCACAAUCCCAUGGUUGAUGUGACUUAGACCUCAUUCAUACUUUAUAUACAGAUUUUUCGUGGUGUUAGUGUCAAUAUUCAGAGAUUAUAUGUUACACAUUGAGAUGUUUUGUAUUGACAGAUUUCUCCUCUCCUCUUUUGUUGCUCAUACGGUUGAGGAGAUUAUGCAAAUUAUGAAAACAACUCUAUUUCCUAAUUAUACACAACUCUUCUUACCCUUAAAUUUGCAUCUAAGAUACUUGUGCAUACGUGGUCAGUUACCCUUCAUCUCUGCGCUGAAACGUCUUACUUUCACAAGCAUUCCUUCACAGUUUCUUUGACAUCCAGCCAAUCAGAAUCUCCGAUAGACAAAACCCAUCCUCUCUCAUUCAAUCCCGAGCAGCUUUAAUUAACCCUUUGUGUGUCCAGGGAUGGUGAAGAGGGCCUGGCUCAUGUCAGAGGAUGAAUGAGCUGAUGCCGGAGACACUGUGGGAUUAAGAAUAUCCCCCCAGAGGAUGAUGGGACAUGAAGGGAGGGGAGUCAGUCUGUUGAGAUUAACACCUCGGUUUGCUUUUCCCACAUGGCCUCUCAAUCCCUCUGGAAUGCUGCAUUGCUGUCCCUUCAAACUAACGUCUUUCUUUCCAUACAGAGCUAAUUAGAAUAUGAGUCCAGACCCUAAAAUGGUCACGAGUUUCUUCUGUUUCCACAUGAAAAGAGUGUUUUUGAUAAGGAAAGCCGUGGCUAACAAUUCUAACUGUAUCCAGGAGGGUUGUUGACGAACUCCAGGGUUUUAGUUAACACCUGCUAAAUUCAUGGCUUCAGAAAGGUAUUUUAUUUUAUUCAGGUCCUGCUGUUUUGCAUUUCUAGAUAACCUAUUUGAUUAGUUUUAGAAUUAUUUCUAUGUUUCUUUAAAGUGCUAGAUCUGUGGAUGUAGAUUAACUAAUUUAAAUAAUAACAGUCCUUUAGGGUUUUCAGUCAAGAUAGUGUAAGUGUUUUUAAGUCUGCUUCUUUACGAUAUAUAUUUUACUUAAAAAUAUAUAAUUGUUUGUUCAUUUUCUCAGUUUAGCAUAGAAUUUUAGGUACUUUAGUAGAAAAACAAGCUGAAGAGAGGCAGAAAAUGAUGGGGGUAGAGAGAGGGGGCGAAGGCUUGAGGCCAGGAAUCGAACCACCAACCGUUUUGACGGGGACUGCAGCCUCUAAACAUGAAGCAUAGAUCAGCAGGCAUCAAUGCCCCCAUCAGACAAUUUCUACCACCGUUUGAUUCUCAGUCAUGAUGCCAAUAAACGGUAAAAUAUUUGUAGUUUUACUCACUGAGAUUUAAGUCAUUCAUAUUAAGUUGUACUUCUGGUUCGCACAAGGACAGAAGCAAGAAACACUGACAGGAAAGAAAUGUCCAUUUUCUAUUGGUUACAAAUUGGUGGGAAUCACCGAAGAGGAAGUACACUAUUCUGUUUGGUAAAAAUGUAAAGGUCCAGUCAGCUUUAAGUUUAAUUUGAAUACUAUAAUGCUGUAUAUUCCACUAUGUAUCUUGACAAAUCUUAACACCAUCGCCACCACCAUUGUGUGUGUGCACUCCCCUAACUCUGACAUCUCCUCAUUGGUUCAUAUUUAUAGGUCCUGUUUUGCCUAUUUGAUUGUUAGUUGACAGUUUGAGGGGACCCAUGAUUAAACCCUGAGGAACUCCAUAUUAAACAGGGCAAGUUUGACAAUAAUAUGACGGAUUUCUUAUUUUCUGUUGUUAAGAAUUAUCAAGAGUUUUAUUAUCAUGGUGAAAUACAGAGGUCAAAGACGUCAACAAUGGUUGAUUUAGAGAUGUUAGAUUCACAAAAGUCAAGACCCAUUGUGGUUGAGAUGUUUUAAUUAGAUCGAUUUCUUUUAUUGAGAUGUUUGCCUCAGACUGGAGCUGCUCACUUCACGUCUGAUGAUGGACAUCACCAAGCUGUGGACAAACUGACGGCCACAGGGCCUAAAAGUAUGAGCUUAAGGUUUAAAUCCCUUAUCGCCUAACAUCCCAUUGUCCCCCAAAUCCAUCCUACCUUUUAAAAGAAGCCUACUAUGAGCCCUGCAACAAUGUGGCCCGUAAGACCCCCCUGGACAAAAAGAAAAAGAGAUCCCUUCUCUUUCUUACCCCCAGCUCUCUCUCUCUCCUUCACUCCGUAUAAAAGCCUGAUCCUCCAGUGUGAGAAGCUCUUAAUCAGGGGCCAAACAAUGAGACCCCAGAUCCCUGCUCCUUGACAGAGGGCCUGAUCUAAUAAGCAGAGGCGAGCUGAGAUGAAGGGGGUGCAGGUGGCCUGAUCCGAGGGAUUACUGGGAGAGAUCUACGCCAGAGUGGGGGUGUUGGAGUGGGGGGAAAAGAAGGAGCAGAUAAGGGGAAUGAUAGGUAAAAGGGAGUGCAUGAUGGAAAAGAUAGAAGAUAGAAGAGUAGACCAAAGAGGACUGACAUAUGACAAAGUUAAGAUGAUUUGAGACGGCUAAAUAUGUAUCUAAAAACUUCAAUUUAUUAAUGUCAGAAAUAUGAUAGAAACUGAGUUUUAGUUUGCACUUUUGAGAGUUUACACCUCAUCCCUUAUGUUUUAUUUUUCAUAAAUUUUGUCACAGUUUCAGCUUUAGUAUCAUAGCAAGAGUUUACUCCGCAUGAGAACUCUUUUUACUUAAUAAAUUAAUAAUAGCAAGAUGGAUGGCCAUAACUCUUACAAAUCUCUGGGUCUUGACCUCAGGAACACCUCGUCACUUUUGCAGCAGUGAUGCUGAAUAAACUGCACACCUGAACUUUUUUGCUCUUUUAAGCAAAGUUUUCUAAAUUUUGUUAAAGUUAUGAAUAAUGGUAAGACUUAAACAAUAUUCCUCCUCCUAGCACUUCCUUGGUCCGUCCUGCCUGCUCCACAUUUAUAGUGAUCCUGUCUCGCCCCUGUAGCUACAUACAACUUCAUCCUACCACCACGUGUGUAACUGUAACAUGCGUGUUGAAAGUGAGAUUUUACCAGAGUGUAAAAGUCCAGCCUUGAACUGGACCUAUUUAAGUACCUUGUGUUUUAUGUUUGGUCUCAGAUGUGUGAGGAAGAAACUGAUUCAAAUUUAAAGAUCUGGUGAAAGGUUGCUGGUGUUGCUUCUGGUGAAGGGGGUAGCAGACAUCACAGCUCCCCUCCAGCCCUUCCAGGCUGCCCUCCAGCACCACUUUUUUCUUCCUCUCAAUCCAAAAGCCUUCCUUCAUCCCCUGCUUAGCUGCCUCUUAACCCUACCAUCACCCCGAGGUCCAUCCCUUCUUCUUCCAUCCCCCUCUCCUCUGUGAAAAAUCUCCUCCCUGCAGCCGUAAUCACAUGAUGACUGUACAUCUGUUCAGACACAGACAGCACAAGGUGUUGGUUGAUACAAAUAUUCUCCUUUAUGGAAUGGAGACAGCAAAAACAUCCAUCAAAUAAACACAUUUCCUGAUUGGACUUAGUAAGACAAGCCCAAAGAUGGUUGAAAUAUGUUUACAGGCAACUUUUCAUAGCCAGAAUUGCGUAUAUCGCAAAGCCUAGGUAUCAGUUUGGUCUUAAAGUCACUGGAGGUUGACCACAGACUUCAUGUUGUGUGGGGUUCAUUCAUUGGAAAGCUGGAGUGCGUGGCUCUCAGUGUGAAGGGAGGGGGUGUGUGUGUCUCUCUUCCUGUCCCAAUGGAGAGGGCGGAUCCAUUAGCAAGAGCUACUGUGACGCCGAGUUUGAGACCUUUGAAGUCCUCGCAGCAGCACGCUGCAGAGGCGGAGGAGCAGAGAGCUGAUGUGUAGAGGUAGGGUCCCCAGAAAUUCACUGUGGUGUCAUAUAAACUAAAGACGUUUGCUCUUUUUCUAAAAAUUCAGAGCUUUUGGUGAAUCCAAAAUCUUGAAAUUGACCUUACUAAGACCUGGGGAAAGCCUGAUGCUCGGCCCGCUCUAGGAAAGUUUUUAAACCUCACCAGAUGUUGAAUUCGUGACAAAAACGAGACCCCACUCGACAGAUUUGUUUAUACAGUGUGAGGAGUGAGAGGAUAUCACCAUACAUUUUAUAGGUCACAACAUCUUUCACAAUCAUGUAGAAGUAAUCAAACAUGGUGGAUGGCUGACAGGGAGGUUGACGUGUGGGAUACAUGCUACAAGGUAAUUGGGCCGAUUUUGAGCCAGAUUCCCACCAGAGCUGUUGCGGGAUUUUUGUGAAAUUAAGCAUGAUUUCACCUCUUACUUUCUUCUUCUUAGUUUUUAAAAUUGUGGCGAUAUACAUCCCUUAAAUUUCUUUUGACAAUCUCAGGUACACCAUGUACAAAAAGUUGCUUAUGUAGCAGAUCUGAGUAUAGGCAGUAUAGUUAAUAAGGCUGCUGUAGGAAUCAGUUCAGAGUACAGUUGAUAGACAUUAGUAUUGUUGCCUUUGUAUCUGUGCUUACGAUGCCUGUCAACCGAUGUGUUGACAGUAUCAGUGAAUUAGCAACAAAAAUACACCAGCAAAAGGAAAGAGUAUAAAACAGCUUCAUUACCUGCACAAACAUUUAACUGAUUGUGCAACACAUACAAACAAUCAUUCAUGCCUAAAUGGCUCACUGUUAAUUUUCCUGAUUUCUAUAUGCUGUUUUUUCUUAGCAGCACAUCUUGACUUACAAAUUUUACUGUAUAGUUUGGUCCCACCCCUGAUGGUAGCGCAGAAUAAAGCAGACUUUGUUUUGUGUCAAAUGUGUCAUAAAUUGUGGAUAUUUUCUGUGGAAAUGGUAGAAAUAGAGCUUUUUCUUUAACAGCUCCCCCUCACACAAGUUUCAGGCCCUAAAAAUCAGGAUUAAAAACUCGCAGUUUUGAUGCUAGUGGUCUCAUUUGCUUUUGGAUACCAUUGGAAAGCAUCAAUAUGAGUUUCAGUCUAUUUCCUAGAUGUGAAAAAAACUCCUUAUAGUAGCUUUAAUCAAUCAACAAAACUGAGGGUUGUAUUACUGUGAUGGAGAAGCAUAACAGCUGCAUGCUCAGGAUGGAAGAGGCUGAGGAUGAAACUCUGCUAUAUGCUUAGUCUGGUUUUGCAUGUCCAUUUUAUUCAUGAGAUGUUGUUAAAUUUGUUUUUUAGACUUGUGAGUGGUCUGAAGAUUUUUUUGGGAUGAAUAUUUACCUCAAAAAGAUGAUAUUUUGUCAUUUCAAAUAGCUUUUUUCCCCGUUAAACACUCAUGUUGGGAAACAGUAAAAUAUCAUGUGACUUGUCUUGGAUUUUUCAAUUUUUCAAAAACCAAAGCACUCAACACUUAAAGCUCAUUAACGAGCCCCAGAAACCAAAGAUUAUCGUGUGAUUGUUUCCAGGCUGUGGAAAUCUUUUAUCUGACAUCAGGAAGAUAGAGGAAGACAAGUAUUAUAUAAAGUCAUGGGAUGAGAAAGAAAAGCAGAAGAGGACAGAAGACAGAGGAGGUUCAGGAGGAAGAGUCAGGCCACAGAUCUGUUUCCAUCCUCUCUUUCUGUUUAUUGAACUGUAAUCAUGAAUAAUACCCACCAUAUGUAGCACGUUACCGGAUUUCCUCCGCUGUGCUUCAGCCGGGAGUCUGCGUUCACUCAAACUCCAGUGUUAAGGUUAACCAAACAUGUCUCUGCGCGUACAUCCUGGCUACAUCACACAGUGUGUUUGGACGGCAGCAAUCCCUCCAUGGCUGGCCAAACUAUCUGUAACUAAAGACACAUGUGUGUAAAGUACCUAAAAAUGGGCUGUUAGGCACAUAAACCCUCAGUGAGUGAAUGAAGGAGUGUGAGCCCGUGAGCUGUGAUUAAGAAGAAGAUCACACUCAUUUAGACAUGAAAUAUUUUAUAUCACCUCGUAUAUUUGUGAAAAUGUUACACCUGUGUUGGUUAUAAAUCAACUUUGACAGUAUAUGAAUGUGCCCAGCAUGAAUAUUUGAUAAAUGAAACUUGUUAAAGUGGAUGGCAUGAGUAGAAAAGGGCUGGAAUUUGACCCUUAGUUAUGUUUCAGGCUCUUAUUGUUGUUCCUGUUGCUUUAGAGACAAGCGUUAAAAAGAUGGGGAAGGACAGGAGAAAGUUAGAAAAUGGCUGUUUGUGCAGGCGGUCAGAGGGUUUAACAAACUCAAAACUUCUUCCAAGAAAUUUUACAAAAGUCCUAGACUGUGUGGAAAAUGGACACAGCCGCCAUGUUGUCUUUGAUUGGUUUGUCGACAAAGAAUCAAGUCUGGAAUCGUCGCAGUUUCCUUGGUGGUUUUGUGGGUCCAGAAGUGGUGCAGAUGUAAGGAGAAAGAUCUGCACCCACAGUUUAUGAUCCGUACAAAACACACUAUAUUAUCUAACUUUGAUAAUGGAAACUAUAAUUUCAAGUAAAUUAGCAGAGGGAGCUGCUGAAUAACUGAGCCUUUAUGGUAAAUACUUAGUUUAAAUCUACACCUAUGGCAGAGUCAUUGGAGUUUGUAACCGUUGUUUCCCAUAGUGUUGGAUUCUGGUAGUUAUAGUUGAUGACUAAAGUUGAUAAAUCAUCACAUUAAUUUUGCUAAAAGAGCUUGCUCUGUCUGGACCAGAUUAGGAUUAACUAACUCACUCUUGGCGCCAACUUCAUCGCAAUUUAAGGCGCAUUUUUAGCAUUUUUUUAGACCUCAAAGGUUGUGAUUUGGCAAAAUACAAGAACAUCUCCCAGGUACCAUAUGAGUGAAAAUUAUAAGCAGGUAUUAAUAAUUUCGUAUUCAUUUAAACUGAGCUAUAAUAUUUCUCUAAACCUAACCACUUUGGAGGUAUUUGCCAAUAUCAUUUUGAAGAAAUAUAAUAAUCCACCUGCUCAUUUGUUUCCCUUUUACUCCCACACAUAAAGUAUGCAAAGCAGACCAUUUAAAAUCAUUUACUCAAAACUUUUUCCUCUGUAUUUGUUUGUGACUUGGUGCGUAAAUAAGCAGCAUCCUGUGAUACUCUUGCAGCACUUAGGGAGAAACCAAAUGAGCUCUCCGCUCAGAGUGAAACUCGGGGAAAAGUGACGCAGCAAAUAAGAAGAAAAGAGAGGGAAUCCUCCUCCACCUCUGCCCGAGGUUAUCAGUGCCGGGUUAUUUCAGCCGUGGCAUACCUCCCAAAAACUUCAAAGAGGGACGAGUUCACACACACACAUACACUCUCACACACACUCACAGGCAGUCCGCCAGCCAAACAAAUAAUUAACAAAGUCAGUGAGGUUAAUUAAAGCGGCAGGGUUCAGGCAGGGUUCAGCCUUCUGUGUGGGAGAGGGGGGAGAGCGGGACUCCUCUGCUGGAUGCGAUUAGAGAACCAGAGAAGAAAGGGAGGAGAGGCGAGGGAAAACAGUGGCUGUCAUUGAUAUCCAUCUUCAUGUAAACAGCUGGCUGUGUGGAGGUGUGCGUUUGUGUGUGUGUGUGGGAGAAAUACUGUUUAGAAACUUUGCGUCCUACUGAGCCUCAAGCAAAAAAACUCCAGCUUUUGUUUUUCAGGAGUUUCAUGUGUCGAUAAAGUAAGAUAAACCUCACUGACAUAAACUCAAAUGUACUAAAACACAUUUUUUACAUAAGCUAGUUUCACCCACGACACAUAAGAGACAGAGGUUAUCAAGAGGAAGCAUCUUACUGAAAAUGUAAAAGUCAUCUGAAGACUUUAUUGUACAUAACAUGAGAAUUUCUCUGUAAACUGUGUAAUUAUGAUUUUAUGGAUCAUUUACAUGAGCUUAAUGACUAUUAUGUUGACUAACUGCAUGUGUCUCGACAUCAUUAUCCCUCGUUUGGAAACACAGUAACUUUCUUACAGCAUUGAAUCAUAAAAAGAGUUAUCAAUAAAUGCACAUAAGUAAACACACAGGACCACAUACUAAAAUGAUCAGUUUGCAAUAAAAGUCACAUCAUCCAGUAGAUUAAGCUAAAUGUCAUAAAAAUGUAAAUAUUGUUUUUUAGUAUUUAUAACACAUCAUGUUUAAAUUCUUAAUAAUCAGUAUUUAAAGGCAAAUUUCUGACUCAUGCAAAUUAAAUGGUUUUAAUGGCUAUAAUAGGGUUGUACUGCUUUUCUGAUUAAGUAUAGUAUGUAAACACUGUAUGAGUACAUGUUUCUAAUAUUAAAUUGUAAUGUCUUUUUCAUUUAUUAAGUAGAAUCAGUAAAUGCCUCCCUGAUUAAAAAAAAUGUAUAUAUGUAAAUCUGCAUCUCUAUCCAGUUUCUCUCUUGUGCUUGUUGUCCUGUAAGGCUACAUUUGACCUCCUGGAGAGUAAACACGGCUUUUAUCUUAUCUGAUAUCGGUUAGAUAUUUAGCAUGAAUUAAAAUAUUUGAAGUAGCGAAAGCUUUAAAAUCGUGUGUGUGCUGUAACCUCCUACCACUGUGAGAAUGGGUACAGUCUCAUCACAUGCAAAAGCUUUCAUUGAGAUUAAAUCCAGUGAGAGACAGCAGAUGUUUAGAGUUGGAUUUGCACCAUGCAUGCAGCCUUAAAGACGAGUGCAAUCAUCCACAAACACGAUAUAAAAUACCUCAAAGUAGGCACAAUUCUGGAGAUGUGGUGACACAAAUGUAUCUUUAAUGUUGUUUAAUCCUUAAUCCUGUUUAUUCCAUCCCUACAACAUCCAAACUAACCCAGUUUGGCCGCACAGCAUGUCUCUGUAUUGACAGGAGCACCGAUACAUCAGAUGACGUGUUUUAAUAGCAGCUCACUCUCUCCCUCUCUCCUUCUCUGUCUCUGGGACCCUCCUCCUCCUCCUCACCCCCCCCCCCCCCCCUUCUCGCCCCCUCCCCCGGUCUCUUUCAGCUCUGUGUUUUGGCAGCAGCUCUCCUCCUGCAUCACAAAGCCCGUACUCUCAGCUUGUCCGAUUGUGUUGCGAACAUCGCAGGUAAUGAUUAACACAAACACACAACAAUGGGAGCUUCAGCACUGCAGCCAGCGUGGGAGUCAAUCGUCUUCGAGUCUGGAUGGAGAGAGACCACAAGCAUGCUGGGUGAUUUUAGCUUUGUAGGUUCGAGAAAGAUGGAAAAAAAAUUGUUGCAAUUCUGACAACUGUGGAAGGACCAACACGUCAACAGCUUACUAACUUUUCUGAUACCCUGACUCUUUCUCUUAUACCAAAAGUUCAGAAAGACAAUAAAAAGGAAACUCAGUGAAGUUAAACUGAUCACUUGCUCCUUAAAAAAAAGGGUUUCUUCUUCUUGGGAUUUGCCUUUUUCUUUUUUAAAAUAUCAGAUUUAUAUUUUAAUGAUUAGAUUUUGAUUGAUUUAAAGCAGCAGUUUACUCUUUUAUUCUUCUUGUUUCUCUCUCAAAGCUACAAUACAAAGUUUUACCAGGGUCCUUUAGAGUCGAUGUGAUCAUUUUGGAGAGGAGCAUUCACCAAACACUCAGAAAUUUAAAUGUAAAUGGGACCUGAUGUUUCCAUAAUGAGUCCCCGCUGUGACGUAGACUAAUGAGCGACCAGCCACACCUCACACAUUCCUCCUGACCUUUACUCCACCUCACUUUCCCUCCACCCAGGACACACAACCCCUCACUUUACCCCAUGAUUGUCAUUCACCCCAACAUCACCCCUCCUCCUCAAUCUGUUAUCAGCUGUCAGG
Molecule: non-coding RNA, 13677 nt
Organism: Xyrichtys novacula (pearly razorfish)
Lineage: Eukaryota; Metazoa; Chordata; Actinopteri; Labriformes; Labridae
Source: the annotation of a GenBank genome assembly